Heterocephalus glaber (naked mole-rat) is the source of this 4395-nucleotide long non-coding RNA. NCBI's taxonomy places the organism in Eukaryota, Metazoa, Chordata, Mammalia, Rodentia, Bathyergidae. The record is from Ensembl.
GGUCAUCCUGGGGUCACCCUGGGGACAGUCUAGGGAAGGAGAAGGCCGUGGCAACAGGGGGGAGGUGAGAAAGGGGGUGGGGAAAAUGGCAGCUGAGGGACUGGCCAGGAGCUGCUAUCCUUUGUCUGCCUGGCUUUUACGCGUGUGUGGGGACAAAGCCUCUCUGCUAGAAAGGGCUCCUUUUCCCUAGAGAUCUGCGGUGUGUGAGUGUGUGUGUGUGUGUGUGUGUGUGUGUGUGUGUGUGUGCGCGCGCACCGCGCCUACCCCUCUCCGAGGCUCUGGUGGGAAUGACUCAGCAACACAGCCAAGCCUGCUCCAUUCUGCCAGCUCCAUGCAUCUGCCACCCGUCCUCGGCCUUGUCCUGCUUCUUAUCCCUGCAGCACCCACACAGCUGGCCCACAGGCCUGACUCCCUGAUGCCAGUCACAAAGCCGGAAGCCAUCCUGGGGUGGGGCUGCCUCAGACCCUCCCUCAGCUCUCACCCUGGCCCCUUCCAGCUGCUUCUCUAUGCAUGGGGGUCCUCACAGGACCUCGUUCACCACUGCCCAGUGAGGACGCACUCUGACUGUCCUCAUCCACAGAUUCAGAAAAGGAGCACCACCAGGCCACCCCCCAUUUGUGCCCUCUACUGAGGGAUAGGUCUGUCCCCAGGGCUAAAGUUACCAGCACGGACACUCACUAAAGGACCGCAGCAGCAGCAAUGAAGAGAAACAGCUAGAAACAACCUGUGCUCAUCCGGAAAGAUGCUUCCUGUAAAUCACUGUGCAUCUGCAGGGCAGGACCCCCAGCAGCCACUGGAGAGGCUAGGCGCUGUCUGUGCACAUGGUGCCUUCUGGAAAUGAGAAUCAAUUGCUUAAAAACCAUAAUAUACUACAUAAAGAAAACACCGUGGUUAUCUGACUUCAGAGUUCAGACUCCAAACCCUGAGAGAGGACAGCCUAGCAGACUCUGGACUAGGGAAUUGGACUCGAGUUUUAACUAGGCAAAGAGCCACCUGGAAUAAAGACUUAUCUCCUAAUCAUCUUUGCAUGUAGAUUUGCUCACGUGACUAUGUCCCAGCAAAUGGGAGCCAAAUGGAAGUAUGAGGAUCGAACUUGGGUCCUUGCACUUGCGCAGCAGGAGGCGAAACCACUGAGCUAAAUCCCUGGCCCUGAGCAGCCUGUUUGGACCAUGAAUUGAAAGGUACAUACUAGAGAAUGGUAGGUAAAUUAUAUACAAGGGGGCUGAGUCCUAAUAUCAUGAAGGACCAGCCCUGUGCUGCUGCUUCAACAUGAGAACAAGAAGGACAACUGAGGUUUCAGGGAACAGGGAGCUAGGGAGAGCCUGGGUCCCUCUUGACAAUGUAGAGUGGCCAUAUUAACUCUGGGGCUUCCAUUACAUGAGAGGAGACACAUACUAUCUUAGGCAAGCCACUAUCUCCUUAGGUAUCCUGUCCCUUCCCAGCCAUCGAACCCCAAGUGAAAGCCAUGAGCCAGCUCCUCCAGGAUGAGGGUAGGGGAGAGCCUGCUAAGCUUUUCCCCCUCCCUGUCCUUGGGGAGUGCUCAGUCAGGAAGGGGCCUAGGAGCUAGGAAGGGGGAGGCAAAGCCUCUUUUCCUCCAGUCCCAGAGGAAUGGGAUGAGUGUGAUCCUGAAAUGAGAUGCAGGGCUUGGGUGUAGUUCAGAGGCAGAAUGUGUGCUUAGCCUGCCGAAAGUCCCAGGUUCCAUCCCUAGAAGCAAAAAAACAAAACAAACAAAACAGCAACCAUGUUAACUACUCUGGCCCCGGGGGAUUACAGGUAAUUUGAGGGUAGAGACCAGCACAAUGCAUAGCAUACAGUAGGUGCUCAAUAAACCUUUGCGGGCUAAUUAUGUGAUAUCCUGUAACCAGCACUCCCUCCACAGUGCAGCUCAGCCUCUCAGACCAACUGUGCAGCUCUGAGUUUUCUCAGUGGAGGAUGUCCCUCUGGGACAAGGUGAUUCAAAGCUUGCGACACAUGGUCAUGCUCAGGGUAGCACUGGCUCCUCACAACUCCAACAACAGGGGCUAUGACUGCAAUCUUCAGAGGAGAAAGCAAGGACCCGGAACUUGGAAACUGCUUGCUCAGGAUCAGCCACGAGGAAGUGCAGGAGCAGGAACUUGAACCCCGGGUUUUGAAUGAAAAACUUCACCUACCUGAAACAAAGGCUGCACAUGAGAUUCUUACACAAAGGCACCCUUUUCCCAACUGCUCAUCCCAACACGGAGGCCCUGGGUCAGGUUUGUGACGUCCUGAGGUGCUGAAGGGGUGGGACAAGGGAGGGGAAAGCUGUCAGGCAAUCCCUCAGCAGCUUGGAGGUCUGGGAGACAGAUUCGACCAGCACUGGUGAUAGCCCAAACAGUGCAUUUGCACAAACAGAACAAGGAACAGAAACUCGAGUUGCUUUACUGCCAUCUACUGGAAAUUUGUCAUAAUAAUCAUUCAAAUUUGUGGUAAAUGGGGAAAAAAAAAGAAGCCUCCCUAGAAUCAUACAGUGUAGAACCUGAACAACAUGUGGAGCAGCCCUAGAUGCACCUUUUCUCACUUGAGAGCAUGAAAAAAAAAAAAAAAAGACCCAUCACCAUGGAGGCUCCAGUCCUGUCUGCUUCCUUCUUGCAUGAGAGUCCCUGGCUCAUCCAGAGGUGCUACAGCCAUCUGCCUGCCCUAGUUUCACCAUGAGACCCAGUAGAAUCCAUGCAUCCUUCCACCCGCUCCAGGCACACGUCCCAGACACCUACGCUGGGCCAGGUACUUAUCUGAAUUUUUCACCAAUUACUAGCUGUGCGUACUUGGACAUUUUCUUAGGCUACUGUCUACUCUUCAGUAUGAAGGGAUAAUAACCCAGCUGGCACUGUGAAUGAGACUUAAGUGAGAUAAUAUAUGUAAAGUCCUAGAAGCCAGUGGCUGACCCUGGACCUACUGCCAGCACCAUUAGAUCUGAGUUACACACAUGCAUGCAUGGGUGGCCAAAGGGAAGACAGGCUCUGGCACAUCUUCCCUCAGAAACAAUCAGGAAACUGUGGCACAAAUGCAUGAAUAUAAAGUUCUCAGUGUGAAGCUGAGCCCAGAGCACAGUGAGUGCCUGGGCACUGGCUUUUCUCCUUUUCCUCUAGUCCUGGCUGGAUCUGAAGCUGGCUAGGUGAGUUCAGGGUCCCUUUGAUUCCCAGGGAGAGAGAACAGUUGCAAGUUUCCUUUACCUGCAGGAAGAGGCUUCCAGACUACUGUGUGGCCAAGCCUCUGGACACCUCCAUGUCUGGCUCAAAGCAAGGCCACAGACCCAUAGAGUUUUAGUUUCUUCAUCCAUGAAAUGAAGCCAGUCAUAUUUACUUUGUAGCCAUUUAGGUAAUGCAAGAAGUAACUAAAAGGCCUCCAACCAUGCUGGAAACAAGCUAAACACAAAAUAAAUUAGAGAUGCAAUCUCAGCUCUGGGACCCAGGGGGCGUCUGGAGCCAGCUGAAGGAUUCUAUUCUCUGCCAUCAAACUGCCUACCACAAUUGGCAUGAGCACUUGAAAUUGCAGGUCCUAAAACUGAUGAGGAGGCAGGAUUGAGCUCACUCCAUCUCGCUCCUCCUAUGGGAGGGAAGUUGGUACACACUUUCCAGUGGGUAGGUAGGCAACAGGAUCCUUUUGACCCAGCCAUUUCAUUUCUAGGAAUUCAGCUAAGGAAAUAGUCACAGGCCCCUCAGAGUGUUGUGCUAGGACAUUCAUUGCAAUGUUGCUAAUAAUAGUGAGAAACUGGAAAUAAUCUAAAGUUAGAGACACAUUCAAUACACAUCUUGGCUGGAUGCCAAAUGGUCAAGUGCUAAGAUCAGUACUCAGCAGAAGCCAAGGCCAACGCUUUCCACCAUCUUCAUGCAGCCAGUGUCUUUGGUAAAGGAGUGAAUUUCAAGAAAAUGUUAUCAGACUUUGCAGUGCCAACAUCCUAAUCGACAUGUUUCACUGCCAGUGUUUGACAGUCUAACGUUACAGCUCAAGAACAGCAUUUUCUCAGUAUUAGCAGAAGAUGGAUUGUUUCUAUGUUAAAUACUGUGCACAUUUGUGUUAAUAAAUUGAUGCUUACAUUGACUGAUGCUUGUGGGAGAGUGUGACGGCCUCAUUUUUUCCCAAUACUUUCUUCUUUUCUCCAUAUUCUGUAUAUUCUUUCCCAUGUUGGGUUAAAUAUGAUUUGCCACAGAAAUAUUGAUCAAAAACUAUAGUCAAUGUUUAAAUAAAAAAUUAUUACAGAAAAGACACAUUGUCAUUAGUCCCCCUCACUUUGAACACACUUAUUCUAUUAUUCUUGCCACUUUCUGAAGCAGUUCUAGAAGUCUUCUUUUGUGAGUGUUUUUUUGUGUGUGAGUGCGUGUGUGUGCCUGCCUCAAUGUCCUGAACUAAUUAAAAAUGUUUACAGCAACUUCUGGC